Molecule: non-coding RNA, 26 nt
Filed under: Homo sapiens (human)
Lineage: Eukaryota; Metazoa; Chordata; Mammalia; Primates; Hominidae
Source: RNAcentral
UGCCAUCGAAUUCCAACCCUGGAGCU